Rhipicephalus sanguineus (brown dog tick) is the source of this 197-nucleotide long non-coding RNA. RefSeq lists it as uncharacterized. The record is from RefSeq and is a predicted model, not a curated record. The transcript is spliced from 2 exons. NCBI's taxonomy places the organism in Eukaryota, Metazoa, Arthropoda, Arachnida, Ixodida, Ixodidae.
AAAAUAUGCUCCAUUAUUACUUGCUUUAUCGGGCCUUGCAAAGAACAUAGGAUGGCACCGAGGUACUCCCUCCUUUCUGCACUCUUUGUUUUCAGAUGGGUGUUUAAUGGUCAACCGAAUCUUUUCAUUGAACGGCCAUUGAAGAACGUCGUCGAUCACUCCCUUGUGCAGCUGAAUGCGAGGGCGCAUGUAAACAC